This 1102-nucleotide long non-coding RNA is filed under the name Scleropages formosus (Asian bonytongue). RNAcentral describes it as "lncRNA (ENSSFOG00015032588.1)". The record is from RNAcentral. Lineage: Eukaryota; Metazoa; Chordata; Actinopteri; Osteoglossiformes; Osteoglossidae.
CAGCUAUGAUUCUUUCAAUUUGCACUGAAACUAGCUGUAAAGGUUAGUAUGCUAUAUUUUGGAUAGUGUACCUUUUCUUUCCAACUCCUCUGCAUUUUAAGGUAAACCUUUUGUUAAACACAGUUCAAUUCCAGUUUCCUUCCUGCAUCAGCAUGGAUAUCUGGAACUGGCAAUAACCUCAGCUGAGUGCAGGCUUAACACACCUCAGUACACACAUGCGCUAGUACCACCAAGACUGCUGAAAUUUACAGGAAUUCCAGUACUCAUUUCAAGAUUCAUUAAUUUUGCAGGCAACUUUCUUCUGGAUGUUACAAGGUAGCAGGUUGUAGGUUUAGUCUGCAGGUCAAAUGCUAGAAGGCACACAGUUGUAAGUGCAACCUUGAGCUUUCCUAUUCAAAAUAGACUAUUGUAGUACUACUGAUCAGAUGCUUAACCUAAAAUACUUAAACGUACCAGGCUGUGUAAAUACGUAAAGUUAUAUUUUACUUUGGUCAAAGAAUUGGAAGCAGAAAUGAAACAGCGGUUAACAGAAAUGCAUACUCAUUAUGCUCUUACAUUUGGGCUGCAUAAGUACAUGGUAGGGAUGUUUAUAACGUCAUCCGUUUUAUUUCUCACAGCAGCAGGUCAGCAAGGAAAGUGUGAACCUGUGCUGACCAGGUUGGAGCUCCUGCACUACAUGGACCCCAUUCUGUCUCCUGUGGCUCUGGAUCACCUCUCCUCCCUAGAGAGUUUGACCGUGUUUUACCGACAAAGGAGUGUGGAGGCCCACGAGUGUAACCUGAACAAAUGGCUGCACAAGCUUCCGUGCCUGAGUGAGCUCACAGUUAUGAAUGGCUACUCUCUCGGCGCAUACGUGCACUCCGUGCCAGCAAUGUUGAGGACGCUAUGCCUGCAGAAUGUGGUUUUCGGGCCGGCAGACCUGAGCGCAAUAGGGAAGCGAGCGCCAGGCAUACAGCACCUCUCUGUGGACAGGAGGAUCUGUGAUGGCCAGCGGAGCCUGCAAGAGGUCCCUGUCCUCUUUCACCAGCUGAGGACUCUCCAGAUGAGGUGAGAUGUCUGUGGCUUACAGACUUGACUCAACCUCGUUAUGUGGCUGCUUAGU